Molecule: ribosomal RNA, 469 nt
Filed under: uncultured bacterium
Lineage: Bacteria
Description: bacterial SSU rRNA
Rfam family: Bacterial small subunit ribosomal RNA
Source: RNAcentral
GGGCCCGCACAAGCAGUGGAGCAUGUGGUUUAAUUCGACGCAACGCGCAGAACCUUACCAGGGCUUGACAUCCUCUGACUGACGUGGAAACACGUAGUCCGAUGCUUGCAUCGGCAGAGAGACAGGUGCUGCAUGGUUGUCGUCAGCUCGUGUCGUGAGAUGUUGGGUUAAGUCCCGCAACGAGCGCAACCCCUAUUCCGUGUUGCCAGCGUAGAGACGGGCACUCACGGGAGACUGCCGGAGAGAAUUCGGAGGAAGGUGGGGAUGACGUCAAAUCAUCAUGGCCCUUAUGUCCUGGGCUACACACGUGCUACAAUGGUCGGAACAACGGGCAGCUAAGGAGCGAUCCGGAGCGAAUCCCUAAAAACCGAUCCCAGUUCAGAUUGCAGGCUGCAACUCGCCUGCAUGAAGCCGGAAUUGCUAGUAAUCGCGGAUCAGCUACGCCGCGGUGAAUACGUUCCCGGGCCUU